This 30-nucleotide non-coding RNA is filed under the name Rattus norvegicus (Norway rat). Lineage: Eukaryota; Metazoa; Chordata; Mammalia; Rodentia; Muridae. The record is from RNAcentral.
UUGGAUGGCGUGUGUUCAGAGGAUUCUGGU